Molecule: ribosomal RNA, 460 nt
Filed under: uncultured bacterium
Lineage: Bacteria
Description: partial 16S ribosomal RNA
Rfam family: Bacterial small subunit ribosomal RNA
Source: RNAcentral
CCUACGGGAGGCAGCAGUGAGGAAUAUUGGUCAAUGGGCGCGAGCCUGAACCAGCCAAGUCGCGUGAAGGAUGACUGCCCUACGGGUUGUAAACUUCUUUUAUAAGGGAAUAAAGUGAGGCACGUGUGCCUUUUUGUAUGUACCUUAUGAAUAAGGAUCGGCUAACUCCGUGCCAGCAGCCGCGGUAAUACGGAGGAUCCGAGCGUUAUCCGGAUUUAUUGGGUUUAAAGGGAGCGUAGACGGGUUGUUAAGUCAGUUGUGAAAGUUUGCGGCUCAACCGUAAAAUUGCAAUUGAUACUGGCUGUCUUGAGUACAGUAGAGGUAGGCGGAAUGCGUGGUGGAGCGGUGAAAUGCAUAGAUAUCACGAAGAACUCCGAUUGCGAAGGCAGCUUACUAAACUGCCACUGACAUUGAUGCACGAAAGUGUGGGUAUCAAACAGGAUUAGAUACCCCUGUAGUC